RNAcentral lists this ribosomal RNA (1008 nucleotides) under Staphylococcus aureus. RNAcentral describes it as "bacterial SSU rRNA". It matches the Rfam family "Bacterial small subunit ribosomal RNA", at positions 15 to 1004 of the family's 1533-position model. The record is from RNAcentral. Lineage: Bacteria; Bacillati; Bacillota; Bacilli; Caryophanales; Staphylococcaceae.
GAUCCUGGCUCAGGAUGAACGCUGGCGGCGUGCCUAAUACAUGCAAGUCGAGCGAACGGACGAGAAGCUUGCUUCUCUGAUGUUAGCGGCGGACGGGUGAGUAACACGUGGAUAACCUACCUAUAAGACUGGGAUAACUUCGGGAAACCGGAGCUAAUACCGGAUAAUAUUUUGAACCGCAUGGUUCAAAAGUGAAAGACGGUCUUGCUGUCACUUAUAGAUGGAUCCGCGCUGCAUUAGCUAGUUGGUAAGGUAACGGCUUACCAAGGCAACGAUGCAUAGCCGACCUGAGAGGGUGAUCGGCCACACUGGAACUGAGACACGGUCCAGACUCCUACGGGAGGCAGCAGUAGGGAAUCUUCCGCAAUGGGCGAAAGCCUGACGGAGCAACGCCGCGUGAGUGAUGAAGGUCUUCGGAUCGUAAAACUCUGUUAUUAGGGAAGAACAUAUGUGUAAGUAACUGUGCACAUCUUGACGGUACCUAAUCAGAAAGCCACGGCUAACUACGUGCCAGCAGCCGCGGUAAUACGUAGGUGGCAAGCGUUAUCCGGAAUUAUUGGGCGUAAAGCGCGCGUAGGCGGUUUUUUAAGUCUGAUGUGAAAGCCCACGGCUCAACCGUGGAGGGUCAUUGGAAACUGGAAAACUUGAGUGCAGAAGAGGAAAGUGGAAUUCCAUGUGUAGCGGUGAAAUGCGCAGAGAUAUGGAGGAACACCAGUGGCGAAGGCGACUUUCUGGUCUGUAACUGACGCUGAUGUGCGAAAGCGUGGGGAUCAAACAGGAUUAGAUACCCUGGUAGUCCACGCCGUAAACGAUGAGUGCUAAGUGUUAGGGGGUUUCCGCCCCUUAGUGCUGCAGCUAACGCAUUAAGCACUCCGCCUGGGGAGUACGACCGCAAGGUUGAAACUCAAAGGAAUUGACGGGGACCCGCACAAGCGGUGGAGCAUGUGGUUUAAUUCGAAGCAACGCGAAGAACCUUACCAAAUCUUGACAUCCUUUGACAACUCUAGA